UAUAUAGCUCAGUCGGUAGAGCAUGAGACUCUUAAUUUCAGGAUUGUGGGUUCAAGCCCCAUGUUGGGCAAAG
Podarcis lilfordi (Lilford's wall lizard) is the source of this 73-nucleotide non-coding RNA. The record is from the annotation of a GenBank genome assembly. Lineage: Eukaryota; Metazoa; Chordata; Lepidosauria; Squamata; Lacertidae.